RNAcentral lists this ribosomal RNA (401 nucleotides) under uncultured Glomeromycotina. Its description in RNAcentral is "SSU rRNA". It matches the Rfam family "Eukaryotic small subunit ribosomal RNA", at positions 678 to 1077 of the family's 1831-position model. Lineage: Eukaryota; Fungi; Glomeromycota. The record is from RNAcentral.
GUACUAGCCUGCCGAUUCCUCCUUCUUGUAGAACCGUAAUGCCAUUAAUUUGGUGUUGCGGGGAAACAGGACUGUUACUUUGAAAAAAUUAGAGUGUUUAAAGCAGGCUAGCGCCUGAAUACAUUAGCAUAGAAUAAUGAAAUAGGACGUUCGAACCUAUUUUGUUGGCUUCUAGGAUUGACGUAAUGAUUAAUAGGGAUAGUUGGGGGCAUUAGUAUUCAAUUGUCAGAGGUGAAAUUCUUGGAUUUAUUGAAGACUAACUACUGCGAAAGCAUUUGCCAAGGAUGUUUUCAUUAAUCAAGAACGAAAGUUAGGGGAUCGAAGACGAUCAGAUACCGUCGUAGUCUUAACCAUAAACUAUGCCGACUAGGGAUCGGAUGAUGUUAAUUUUUUAAUGACUC